AUGAGGGAGUUGGGAAGAUUUCUACUGGCUGCCAAGUCCCUGGACAGAAAAGUGCAAUCCCUUCAAGAUGUUUUGGUUCCACCAAAGUUUUCCUUAGCGGUAGCAGCAGCCAAAAAAGCGUCUGGUUUCACCAACUCGGCGCAUAGACACAGCACACCAUCUCUUGCUUUAAAAUUGGGGCACUCACUGAAGGCAGCAUGUGACAUUGUUAUAGGACAACAUAUAAAGGCUGAAGAUGAAUUGGCUGCCAACCGAGUAAGGAACUUCUUGGGCUUAGUUGCUGCAGAGUGGGACCUGUAUGUGUCACGCCAUGCAAGAACAAACCUAGAAGAAGAAAGAUGGAACAAAAAAGACAUGAUUCCACUCACAGAGGAUGUCAUGAAGCUUCAGAAAGUGUUGAAGUCCACAGAGGAGGAGGCAAAGGACAAGCUCCUGAAUGGACCAAACCCAACAGCUUACGAGACGCUCAGCGAGUGCCUUCUUGCCCAAAUCAUCCUGUUCAACAGAAGACGCCAAGGUGAGGCGGCAAAAAUGCCUCUGGUGACAUACAGAGACAGAGCCGCUGAGCAACCAAAUGAAGACAUCAUGAAGUGCCUCUCAAGGCUAGAAAAGGAUUUGAGUCAUGAGUUUACCCGGUUAGUGGUCAGAGGAAAGAGAGGACGUAAAGUGCCGGUGCUUCUUACAAAAGGGAUGACUUCCUCACUUGACUUCCUCAUUGAAAACAGGGGUGUGGAGAGGGACAUUUUGGAAAGUUAUGAGUAUGUUUUUGCAAGACAGAAUACCGAUUCCCAUAUUCGAGGUUCAGACUGUUUGAGGAAAUAUGCAGCUCUAAGUGGAGCAAAGAGACCUGAAACACUCACCUCGACCCAACUGAGGAAACACGUGGCUACACUGAGCCAGAUUAUGAAUCUCAAAGACAAUGAAUCGGACCAGCUUGCUAAAUACAUGGGACAUGAUAUUCGCGUUCAUCGCGAAUAUUAUCGGCUCACAGAGAAUACGCUACAGCUUGCUAAAAUGAGCAAGCUGCUCAUGGCUAUUGAACUUGGAACUGAUGUCUACAGAGGCAAAUCUCUUGAUGAGCUUGAUUUAGACUUAGAAAUGGCUUUGUCUGCCAAAGAUGGAUCAAUACAAGAAUCCCAGGUCACGCAAAGCAAUGACAGUGGGGAAACUUUAGAGCUUCCUGAAGACAUGGAUGAACCAGAUAGAAAGCCAUCAGAGGAAAAAAGAGGAGAGACAGGGUCCUCCAAGAGAAAAAGGACGAAGGAGCGUUCUCGGCCUUCUCCAUGUUCAGAUGAAGAGCCACAAAGCCCCUCCUUUUCCCAACCAUUUAAAGUCCAGAAGAGAGGAGAGACAGGGUCCUCCAAGAGAAAAAGGACGAAGGAGCGUUCUCUGCCUUCUCCAUGUUCAGAUGAAGAGCCACAAAGCCCCUCCUUUUCCCAACCAUUUAAAGUCCAGAAGAGAGGAGAGUCAGAUAUGGAUCUUCCAAAAGGCAUCCGUCGCAGGCCUUGGAGUAAACGGGAGAAAGAAGCUGUAUGGAGGCAGUUGGGGAAGUAUAUCACACUUCUACGAGUUCCUGGGAAAGAGGAGUGCAUGAAUGCAUUACAAGCUGAACGUGCGCUGAAAAGGCGCACAUGGACAGAUGUAAAAAAUUAAGUGUACAAUACAAUCACUUCCCAAAAGAGGAAGAAUUUAUAAGCAAUUCAUUCAUUUGAUGAAGUUUGGUCAUGUGAAUUUCAUAUUCAUUUAUGGCAGUGGUCUUAUUUGUGCUAGCGGUUUUACUUUCUGAAAUGAUUUCAGUCACUUUUUUAUUAUUAUAUAUUAUAUAUAUUAUCGCUAAAUUUAUGGGUAAUUUUCACUGCAGCAAGUGUUGAGGUGUUCAAAAUGCACAAAGAUGUGCAGAAAUCCUGCCAAGUGAUUUUCACUGCAGCAAGAAGUGUUGGUGUUCAAAAUGCACAAAGAUGUGCAUAAAUCCUGUCAAGUAAUUUUCACUGCAGCAAGAAGUGUUGGUGUUCAAAAUGCACAAAGAUGUGCAUAAAUCCUGCCAAGUAAUGUUUAACUGCAGCAAAAAGUGUCAGAAUGCAUGCAGAAAUUGUAAAACUGUUUACAAUAAAGUAAUUUGUUUAAUAUGAGUUUGAGUUUCAUAAUGUAUUAAGACAUUUCUCUAAAGGCGGGUACACACUACAGGAUUUGUCAAACCUUCACAGAUUAGGAGACCACACACUUGAUGAUAACAAAAGACAGAUCGCACAAGAUCUCUCUCUGCUGAUCUUAUAGUGUGUGGUGUUCUCCGUAGUGCACACCACACACUAACCGAUUCUUCAGCAGAGUAUCAGGUUCUUAACGCGCAAUAUUGCAAAUCUCGCGUGGUCAAACGUGACUUCAGUGUAAACAAACAUGGCGGAUGAACCGGUAGAUACAGUGGUGGUUGUUUUAGGCCUAUUACUGGCUGAAAAAGUCAUGGAGACGGCGAGAGUGUGG
Molecule: long non-coding RNA, 2478 nt
Filed under: Sparus aurata (gilthead seabream)
Lineage: Eukaryota; Metazoa; Chordata; Actinopteri; Spariformes; Sparidae
Description: lncRNA (ENSSAUG00010018373.1)
Source: RNAcentral